GCAUGUGUAUCUCGUGGAGCUGCACAUUUUGAGUGGUGAAAGGUCAAGGUCAUCCUUCAAGGUCAAAAUUUAAAAAAAUUGUAAUUUUCAUUUCUCCAUUCAAUCUCUUACUUACUUUCGUGCAGCUGCACAUUUUUAGUGGUGAAAGUUCAAGGUCAACCUUCAAGGUCAAAGGUCAAAUAUCAUUGUAUUUUUCUUUCCUAUAACUUUAACUUUCGUUUAAGUUUUAUCAUAACUUUUUAUGCCCCUGGAUCGAAUGAUCGGGGGUAUAUUGUUUUUGGCCUGUCUGUCUGUCAUUCUGUCCCAAAACUUUAACCUUGGUUUAAGUUUUGCGAUAUCUUUCGAAAUAUUGAACAUAGCAACUUGAUAUAUCUCAUGGAGCUGCACAUUUUGAGUGGUGAAAGGUCAAGGUCAUCCUUCAAGGUCAAAGGUAAAAAAAAAACAAAGCAGCACAAUAGGGGGCAUUGUGUUUCUGACAAACACAUCUCUUGUUGAUCCUUUAUUUUUUUGUUGAUAGUUACUUUUGGUUCUAAAAUAAUGAUUUUCCAUGAUAUUUAUACAUUUAUUGUGAAAGAAUAUCUUGCAAACUUAAAAUAGUGGGAAAGUUGUCAUCCAGGUUAUUACACAUUAUGUUGUAUAAUGCUAUAAGUAUACAGGUUUGACAAAUUAGUGCAGUUACAUGGACUUUUUUGCUUGCAGCGACAGUGACUACAAAAUUAGACUUACAAUUUGAUGGAUGCUUGAUUUGUAAUGAAUUUAAAGUUAGCGUUGAAUAAAUGGUAGUUGAUAGAGUGAGGUUUAUUUAUACUGAACCAAAAAGAACAAAUUUCAUUGUUAGGCAUAAGUUAUAUUUUAUCAUCACUUGCCUCUAUCCCAGGUCUCAAAUUCAUUAAAAAUGUUCACAUCACUGUGUGUAUUUGCUAUGCUGUACACUGGAAGUAGCUUGCAGCUAUUUGUAUCUCACAGGAGGUUACCGGUAUUAAGCCCACGCAGGCUUAAAACAGCAUGCAGAAACAACCAGAUUAUUCCUAGUUUUGAUAAAAGACAGUUAUAAUUAUAUUAUUGUCAUUUUUAAUGAACAAUAAUUUUAAUUAUGUAUUGUAAUGAUUACAUAUGUAAGUUUUUAUUUGUGAAACAACAUUUCAUAUUUUCUUGAGUGUAGUAUAAUGAAGAGAAUGUGGAAUAGUUGUAUCUUUGUGCUUUUCUGUGUUGUGACUUUAUUUUGAAAAUAUUUGUUUCUAUGUGAACCAAUUAAUGCAUGCAUGCUAUAAAAGUUGAUACAACAGUUUAAGGAGUGAAGUUGUUAUGCCUACUAUGAUAUAUACUUUUUUUCAGAUAUGCAAGAUCAUGGAUACAUAAUUUUGUUGGUGAAAGUAAUUGUUAGUACAAAAAGAAAUACAUGCACUUUCAUUACUGUUUCUUGUUGAGGAGUUAUAAAUGAAACCCACAUCAUGAAAUAAGUAAAUCACUUCUUUGUAUAAAACUGAAUUUAAUUUCAAUUGUAGAAAAUAUGAAAAUAUAGUUCUUUUAUUUUUUAAAUCAAUGAAAGUUUAACUUAUUCAUUACAUUUAUUGGGUCUCCAGUUCUUAAGAAGUUUGUUGAUAUGUUCAUGUCACUGGUGUUGGUCAUAUUUCAAGGAAUAAUUUGCAACAGUUUUAAAUCAAACUUGAUACAAGUUUGUACAAGUAUUUUAAUUACGAACAUUUGGAAAAAUCAUCAUUUCCGUUAAAGACAUAUUUUCAUGUGCAAGGAAGAUUUAUUUAUUUGAUAAAUCAACAUGUUUUGAAAUAGAGCCAAGAAAAGUUUUAAUUUUUGUCACUUUGGUUGUAUCUAUGUAAACCUAUAAGAUUUUUUUUUAUACAAUACCGGUAACUUGUUAAUGAUAUUUGAAUAAAUGUUAUACAUCUCAUUGACUGUUGUAAGUCAUGGUUAUUUUGAAUUAUUGUUUAUUAUUUGUUAUUGUAUCAUGCUUUAAGUAAUGGAUAUGGUUUUAAGCGGUUUAUUGUACUAUCUGGGUUUUCUUAAUGUAUGGUGCUGUAUUGGUUCACUUGAUAUUUUCUUUACAUUUUAAAUUGGUAUGAGCUACCUGCAAAUUUAUAUAUGAUGGGUGUUUUGUUGUAGUUUUUCUUUAUUAAAUUAAUGCAUUGAAGAAUAAAAAAACUCAUCCUGUUAACCUG
Molecule: long non-coding RNA, 2177 nt
Organism: Dreissena polymorpha
Lineage: Eukaryota; Metazoa; Mollusca; Bivalvia; Myida; Dreissenidae
Exons: 2
Source: RefSeq, a predicted model, not a curated record